CCACACGACCGUACCGCAAACCGACACUGGUGCGCGAGAUGAGUAUUCUAAGGCGCUUGAGAGAACUCAGGAGAAGGAACUCGGCAAAUUGACACCGUAACUUCGGAAGAAGGUGUGCCUUUAGUAGGUGAACCUGUACAAGGGGAGCCCAAUGAGGUUGCAAAAAAUCGGUGGCUGCGACUGUUUAAUAAAAACACAGCACUCUGCAAACACGAAAGUGGACGUAUAGGGUGUGACGCCUGCCCGGUGCUGGAAGAUUAAAUGAUGGGGUGCAAGCUCUUGAUUGAAGUCCCAGUAAACGGCGGCCGUAACUAUAACGGUCCUAAGGUAGCGAAAUUCCUUGUCGGGUAAGUUCCGACCUGCACGAAUGGCGUAACGAUGGCCACACUGUCUCCUCCUGAGACUCAGCGAAGUUGAAAUGUUUGUGAUGAUGCAAUCUCCCCGCGGAAAGACGGAAAGACCCCAUGAACCUUUACUGUAGCUUUGUAUUGGACUUUGAACAGAUCUGUGUAGGAUAGGUGGGAGGCUUUGAAGUGUGGUCGCUAGAUCGCAUGGAGCCAACGUUGAAAUACCACCCUGGUGUGUUUGAGGUUCUAACCUAGGCCCGUAAUCCGGGUCGGGGACAGUGCAUGGUAGGCAGUUUGACUGGGGCGGUCUCCUCCCAAAGCGUAACGGAGGAGUUCGAAGGUACGCUAGGUACGGUCGGACAUCGUGCUAAUAGUGCAAUGGCAUAAGCGUGCUUAACUGCGAGACUGACAAGUCGAGCAGAUGCGAAAGCAGGACAUAGUGAUCCGGUGGUUCUGUAUGGAAGGGCCAUCGCUCAACGGAUAAAAGGUACUCUGGGGAUAACAGGCUGAUACCGCCCAAGAGUUCAUAUCGACGGCGGUGUUUGGCACCUCGAUGUCGGCUCAUCUCAUCCUGGGGCUGUAGCCGGUCCCAAGGGUAUGGCUGUUCGCCAUUUAAAGAGGUACGUGAGCUGGGUUUAAAACGUCGUGAGACAGUUUGGUCCCUAUCUUCCGUGGGCGCUGCAGAUUUGAGGAAGCCUGCUCCUAGUACGAGAGGACCGGAGUGGACACACCUCUGAUGUAUCGGUUGUCACGCCAGUGGCAUUGCCGAGUAGCUAUGUGUGGAAGAGAUAACCGCUGAAAGCAUCUAAGCGGGAAACUCGUUUCAAGAUGAGAUCUGCCGGGGCCUUGAGCCCCCUAAAGAGUCGUUCAAGACCAGGACGUUGAUAGGUCGGGUGUGGAAGCGCAGUAAUGCGUUAAGCUAACCGAUACUAAUUGCUCGUGCGGCUUGACC
This 1299-nucleotide ribosomal RNA is filed under the name metagenome. Its description in RNAcentral is "bacterial LSU rRNA". It matches the Rfam family "Bacterial large subunit ribosomal RNA", at positions 1634 to 2925 of the family's 2925-position model. The record is from RNAcentral.